CUGAAUGCACGUUCUAGAAAGCAAAUAUUUGACAGAUGUGUGUGAGAAAAGUGCUAAAGAAAAUUAAAAACUAGAAAAUACAUACACACGAUGUUGUAUGUGGGACUAUAUAGAGACAGCGGUCGGCUUGGCGAGAUGUUGAUAGCGUAUUCAGAAUGUCAGAUGAGCACGUUCAACUCGGCCGAGGAUUGACGGCCCAUCCAAUUGAGUAGGUGUAGAUGUAGGUGUAGCUGUACAACAUGUAUCUGCAAUUGUAUCUGUAUCUGUAUCUCGUACUCGUACUCGUUCUGCGAUGCGAUGCGAUGCGAUGCUAUACGAUGCGAAUCGUAUAGUUGAAUUCAAUUCUGUGCAAUCAGCGGCGUUUAACGACAUUCUAUAUACAAUAUAUUGUGGUACAUGGGUAAACAUCGCAGAGCAUUAACAAGGCGUUGAUUGGAUUUUGAAUGAGACUGCGAUUAUCACACAUCAGCAGCAUAAUCGCCUCUCUACACUGCUCCAAAAUCAACCCAACGAACAAAAAUACUAGCUAUGCUAAUUUUGCACCAUUUACUAAUCUGUGUUCUCAACAUUUAAUUUAUUCAAUUAACAUUUAUUGUCACUAGGACAACGGGACACUACGCC
This is a long non-coding RNA of Drosophila albomicans, 621 nucleotides long. RefSeq lists it as uncharacterized. The record is from RefSeq and is a predicted model, not a curated record. Lineage: Eukaryota; Metazoa; Arthropoda; Insecta; Diptera; Drosophilidae. The transcript has 3 exons.